Molecule: long non-coding RNA, 1056 nt
Organism: Rosa chinensis
Lineage: Eukaryota; Viridiplantae; Streptophyta; Magnoliopsida; Rosales; Rosaceae
Exons: 4
Source: RefSeq, a predicted model, not a curated record
UCGUCACCUACGUUUGCUGGUGCCGAAUGCAUUGAUCUUAAUUGUACUUGGGUGGAGUUGGUGAAGUUUGACCCUUGCUUCCUUUAUACAUAUUUCGUCACUGAUUAAAGGCAUAUUUCUUGCUGAUCUUCGUGUUUAAGGCUUUUGAAAAAUUCAUCUGUGAUAUGAUUCUUUGGAUAUAUUGAUGUAGCAUGAUGGCUGAAUAUGUGUUUCCUUGUUGACAACAAUUACGCUUAGCAUUAUAUACAUUGAGGUUUGCCGAAGACUUAGUCUAACCAUAGUGGGAUCUCGAGUUGGGGAAGAAUUUUUGAUCUGGCCGCAAACAGGAUAUCCAGAGGAGCUGUUCAAGGUAACUUCAGGACACAGUCUGUUUGCAAUUGUCAAUGGAAGGUGUGUCGAAGACCCUAGAUCAAAGGCAUCGGAUUUAACAAGCAAUUCACUGUCAGGGCUUGAGAUAGCUACAAACCUAGACAUUAUUGGGAUUGCUUUAGCCAAUCUUGUUAGGCUUCACUGGAAACUUGCUUUAAGAUCAACUCAUGAACUGAUGCUGACUUCUCCACUCAGGCAUGUUCACAAUGCUCAUGAUAAACUUUACAAAAUCACUAAUUCAAAGGCACCUCUGUUACGACCCCAAGAACUUAGAUAAGUUAAAUGCCUCACUAGAUGCGGAUGAGUUAAAUGCAGACGAGUUGACCACCUACCAGAUUUGCAGCAAAAUGUUAUUUGUUCUUUUUCUGCAAUAUCUUGUUCCUCACUUAGGAUGAAGGAAUAUCAUUUAAAUUAGUUACUUUUUGCUGUCGUGUUGCAUUUUGUGAGACAUUCAGCUUUGGUGAGCUUGGUUGGCAGAAUAGACUGUCAACUACAUGGUCUUUAAUUGUUUCUAUUACCUAACAUGUGACUAAUAAAGUUGAUGAGUUAAUGUGCAGACUGAUGUCUUAAAUUGAUGAGGACUUGUGCAUAUUGAUUUUUGAAGACUAGUUGCUCUUGUGGGGGUCAAGAAAGCCUUCAAUCCAUUUUAGUUUGUAUCAGUUUGUUUCUAUCAAAUUCAAGCUGUUU